This 261-nucleotide ribosomal RNA is filed under the name uncultured bacterium. RNAcentral's name for it is "partial 16S ribosomal RNA". It matches the Rfam family "Bacterial small subunit ribosomal RNA", at positions 57 to 305 of the family's 1533-position model. The record is from RNAcentral.
GCAAGUCGAGCGCGAAAGCCUUUCGGGGUGAGUAGAGCGGCGAACGGGUGAGUAACGCGUGGGUAAUCUGCCCCUUGGUGGGGAAUAACUUCGGGAAACUGUGGCUAAUGCCGCAUGAGCUCUCGGCGUCUUCGGAUACCAAGAGGAAAGCAUGCCUCUGAUUUAAGCAUGCGCCAGGGGAGGAGCCCGCGUCCCAUUAGCUUGUUGGUGAGGUAACGGCUCACCAAGGCGACGAUGGGUAGCCGGCCUGAGAGGGUGAAC